GGUUAAGCGACUAAGCGUACACGGUGGAUGCCCUGGCAGUCAGAGGCGAUGAAGGACGUGCUAAUCUGCGAUAAGCGUCGGUGAGGUGAUAUGAACCGUUAUAACCGGCGAUUUCCGAAUGGGGAAACCCAGUGUGUUUCGACACACUAUCAUUAACUGAAUCCAUAGGUUAAUGAGGCGAACCGGGGGAACUGAAACAUCUAAGUACCCCGAGGAAAAGAAAUCAACCGAGAUUCCCCCAGUAGCGGCGAGCGAACGGGGAGGAGCCCAGAGCCUGAAUCAGUGUGUGUGUUAGUGGAAGCGUCUGGAAAGGCGUGCGAUACAGGGUGACAGCCCCGUACACAAAAAUGCACAUAUUGUGAGCUCGAUGAGUAGGGCGGGACACGUGGUAUCCUGUCUGAAUAUGGGGGGACCAUCCUCCAAGGCUAAAUACUCCUGACUGACCGAUAGUGAACCAGUACCGUGAGGGAAAGGCGAAAAGAACCCCGGCGAGGGGAGUGAAAAAGAACCUGAAACCGUGUACGUACAAGCAGUGGGAGCCUCUUAAUGGGGUGACUGCGUACCUUUUGUAUAAUGGGUCAGCGACUUAUAUUCUGUAGCAAGGUUAACCGAAUAGGGGAGCCGAAGGGAAACCGAGUCUUAACUGGGCGUUAAGUUGCAGGGUAUAGACCCGAAACCCGGUGAUCUAGCCAUGGGCAGGUUGAAGGUUGGGUAACACUAACUGGAGGACCGAACCGACUAAUGUUGAAAAAUUAGCGGAUGACUUGUGGCUGGGGGUGAAAGGCCAAUCAAACCGGGAGAUAGCUGGUUCUCCCCGAAAGCUAUUUAGGUAGCGCCUCGUGAAUUCAUCUCCGGGGGUAGAGCACUGUUUCGGCAAGGGGGUCAUCCCGACUUACCAACCCGAUGCAAACUGCGA
This 916-nucleotide ribosomal RNA is filed under the name Escherichia coli. RNAcentral describes it as "partial 23S ribosomal RNA". It matches the Rfam family "Bacterial large subunit ribosomal RNA", at positions 1 to 959 of the family's 2925-position model. The record is from RNAcentral. Lineage: Bacteria; Pseudomonadati; Pseudomonadota; Gammaproteobacteria; Enterobacterales; Enterobacteriaceae.